This 112-nucleotide ribosomal RNA is filed under the name Acanthosepion pharaonis. The record is from RNAcentral. Lineage: Eukaryota; Metazoa; Mollusca; Cephalopoda; Sepiida; Sepiidae.
UUACGGUCAAAUCACGCUGAAACACCGGUUCUCGUUCGAUCACCGAAGUUAAGCAUCGUAGAGCCAGGUCAGUACUUAGAUGGGGACCGCUUGGGAACACUUGGUACUGUAA